UACGUAGGUGGCAAGCGUUGUCCGGAUUUAUUGGGUUUAAAGGGUGCGUAGGCGGCUUUGUAAGUCAGUGGUGAAAUAUGGCAGCUCAACUGUCAGGGUGCCAUUGAUACUGCGGAGCUUAAGUACAGAUGAGGUAGGCGGAAUUGACGGUGUAGCGGUGAAAUGCUUAGAUAUCGUCAAGAACACCGAUAGCGAAGGCAGCUUACUAGGCUGUAACUGACGCUGAGGCACGAAAGUGUGGGGAUCAAACAGG
This 253-nucleotide ribosomal RNA is filed under the name uncultured bacterium. RNAcentral's name for it is "partial 16S ribosomal RNA". It matches the Rfam family "Bacterial small subunit ribosomal RNA", at positions 524 to 776 of the family's 1533-position model. The record is from RNAcentral.